UGGGGAAUAUUCGGCAAUGGACGCAAGCCUGACCGAGCCACGCCGCGUGUGUGAAGAAGGUUUUCGGGUUGUAAAACUCUGUUGUUAGAGAGGAACAAGGACGUUAGAAUCUGAACGUCCAUUGACGGUAUCUACACAGUAAGCACCGGCUAACUCCGUGCCAGCAGCCGCGGUAAUACGUAGGUGGCAAGCGUUGUCCGGAUUUAUUGGGCGUAAAGCGAGCGCAGGCGGUUUCUUAAGUCUGAUGUGAAAGCCCCCGGCUCAACCGGGGAGGGUCAUUGGAAACUGGGAGGCUUGAGUGCAGAAGAGGAGAGUGGAAUUCCAGGUGUAGCGGUGAAAUGCGUAGAGAUAUGGAGGAACACCAGUGGCGAAGGCGGCUCUCUGGUCUGUAACUGACGCUGAGGCGCGAAAGCGUGGGGAGCAAACAGG
Molecule: ribosomal RNA, 429 nt
Filed under: Gemmatimonadota bacterium
Lineage: Bacteria; Pseudomonadati; Gemmatimonadota
Description: Gemmatimonadetes bacterium partial 16S ribosomal RNA
Rfam family: Bacterial small subunit ribosomal RNA
Source: RNAcentral